CAGUCGCCACGGGAAUACGAAGGGGGCUAGCGUUGUUCGGAAUUACUGGGCGUAAAGCGCACGUAGGCGGACUUUUAAGUCAGGGGUGAAAUCCCGGGGCUCAACCUCGGAACUGCCUUUGAUACUGGAAGUCUUGAGUGUGGAAGAGGUAAGUGGAAUUGCGAGUGUAGAGGUGAAAUUCGUAGAUAUUCGCAGGAACACCAGUGGCGAAGGCGGCUUACUGGUCCACAACUGACGCUGAGGUGCGAAAGCGUGGGGAGCAAACAGGAUUAGAUACCCCAGUAGUCCCUGUCUCUUAUAC
RNAcentral lists this ribosomal RNA (301 nucleotides) under uncultured bacterium. Its description in RNAcentral is "partial 16S ribosomal RNA". It matches the Rfam family "Bacterial small subunit ribosomal RNA", at positions 509 to 807 of the family's 1533-position model. The record is from RNAcentral.